CUUCGCCGACCGAUUUCAUCGAGGUGGUCAGGGUGGUGGAGGCGCCGGGGAAUUUCUCAAACGCGAAGCGCGGAAUCUUGGUGACCACGUAAUCGAUGGUGGGCUCGAACGACGCCGGCGUCGCGCCGCCGGUGAUGUCGUUGGCGAUUUCGUCCAGCGUGUAGCCGACUGCGAGCUUGGCCGCGACUUUCGCGAUCGGAAAG
This 203-nucleotide unclassified non-coding RNA is filed under the name Hevea brasiliensis (rubber tree). Lineage: Eukaryota; Viridiplantae; Streptophyta; Magnoliopsida; Malpighiales; Euphorbiaceae. The record is from RNAcentral.